AGGAAUGGAGAUGUUCAACCAUUGAUACAAAGUUCACAAACUCGAUGCUGUUCCUCACUAACAGCUCGAUAAAUGUGGAGACUGAUGGAAGAUGGCCAAGCACAACGUUCACAGGCAAUGCUUGUUUCUGAAGCAGUGAUGGGGGACCCCAUGCACCCAGCACUGCUCAAGGAUCAUCAUCCCUCCUGGAAAGACCUCUUCAAAAAUGUCCAGCUGCAACUGUUGACUGCAACACGGUGUGAGCCAGCCUGGGAGAGCCCUCAGCUUUGGAGAGUGUGCACUGGAGUUUACCAAACAAACCUGGUGGGCUUUACCUGGGAGAGGCAUAACUGACGAAAGGAGACUGUGGCCUUUUAGGCUAAAUGCAUUCAGAGUCUCCUUGGUAUUUGUACUAGGGCUUUUUCCAGUAGUGGAGAGUAAAACAAUGAUGCUUUUGGAGGGCCUAGUAAUAUUUUUCCAGCUUUGUCUGGCAGACAUGACCAGGAUAUAAGUCUCCUUUAAUGUAAGAGAGACCCCAGGCUUUGGUGAUUGGAGUAAUCAUCUUGGAAUGCAUGGGGGUGUCACCUGGAAAUGUUUGUUAGCUUGAUCACAGACACAUUUUAGCUCCAGUUGUCUCUACAAGACUGGCAAAGUAAAGCAGGCUGUAGUUUCCCACACAUCUCCAAAGUGAAUUUGUGACAAGGUUCAUUAAUGAUGUUUUCACACAGUAAACAGCACAGUACCCAGUUGCUGGGUGGCCUUUCUGGAUGUAUGUGUAAAACAUUAAGCAACGAAGACAAUACUUACAGGAAGAAAUGAAACCUGUUCUGGGCAGUGUCUGAUACCAAGCCAGAGAGGAAGCAGAAGACCUUUGUUUAGCUUUGUAACACUGCUGGCUUCACAGUAAGUAAUAAAGUGGAGUUAAAUAUAUUGCACUGUGACCCAUACAGCACUUUUUUAGAACUAAUAGUUUCCAUGUGACUGCUCAGACAACAGGUGUUGAUCUAGCCUGACUUUGGCUAAGAGGUGCAAGAGGCCAGGAGGGCAAGACAGGGCAGGAAUUCCCUAUGGCUCUCUGGUCUUAGUGUGGACGUUGUCCUGACUUCCACGUGCAGGAAAUCAUUUGGAAAAAAAAGAUCAAAACUGUGUCCUGAGUCUUUGUUUUGUUGUAAAAAGCCUCAUGGCAGUGAAUACUGAGACUGUCCAGAGAUGAUGUUCCAGCUAACCGUGUCAGCAUUUGAAUCUCCAGUUAUGUUUACUCUCACUCUAUUGCACAGAUUUCUGGAGGAACAUUGCACUGCCCAGGGCAGGUGGAGCAAAGGAAGAAGCUGACAAAGAGACAGUGUAAUGGAAAUAGGUGGAUCCAAGGAAGUCCAGACCAGCAGGACUAACUAAAUACUCAUGCCACAAAGCCCAAAGGAGAUCAGGAGGACCUGCUGGACACCUGGUAAUGUGUCCAGACCCUGGGGCCACAGAAACAACAUUAUCUGGAGCAACUCAUUCAAACAGCAGCUGUAGCUACACUGUUGUGACCAAAAGGAACAAGGAUAUAUGGACAAGUCUUACCCAGCUAGCUGCUUGCAGCAAACCCCAUCACCACACCAGGCUCAGCAACAAGGCAGAAUCCCAGGUUUGUUCAUCUCUAGAUUCUGCUGCGGGUCCUGAACAAGAGGUACACCCACCCCAGCAGGUGCAAGACCAAGCCAUUUAAAACUAGUUUGAUGAUAUUGGUGCAAACUUCUCUGACUUGCAAACACACCAGGCACAGGCAGUGCUGUAGCAGGUGGCAAUAAGAGACCUAGUGAAGACUGAAAAGGAGAAGC
This is a long non-coding RNA of Pogoniulus pusillus (Red-fronted tinkerbird), 1802 nucleotides long. RefSeq lists it as uncharacterized. NCBI's taxonomy places the organism in Eukaryota, Metazoa, Chordata, Aves, Piciformes, Lybiidae. The transcript is spliced from 4 exons. The record is from RefSeq and is a predicted model, not a curated record.